CGGCGGACGGGUGAGUAACACGUGGAUAACCUACCUAUAAGACUGGGAUAACUUCGGGAAACCGGAGCUAAUACCGGAUAAUAUUUUGAACCGCAUGGUUCAAAAGUGAAAGACGGUCUUGCUGUCACUUAUAGAUGGAUCCGCGCUGCGUUAGCUAGUUGGUAAGGUAACGGCUUACCAAGGCAACGAUGCAUAGCCGACCUGAGAGGGUGAUCGGCCACACUGGAACUGAGACACGGUCCAG
This 244-nucleotide ribosomal RNA is filed under the name uncultured Staphylococcus sp. RNAcentral's name for it is "partial 16S ribosomal RNA". It matches the Rfam family "Bacterial small subunit ribosomal RNA", at positions 96 to 334 of the family's 1533-position model. Lineage: Bacteria; Bacillati; Bacillota; Bacilli; Caryophanales; Staphylococcaceae. The record is from RNAcentral.